Molecule: non-coding RNA, 1005 nt
Organism: Camellia sinensis
Lineage: Eukaryota; Viridiplantae; Streptophyta; Magnoliopsida; Ericales; Theaceae
Source: RefSeq, a predicted model, not a curated record
UGGUUAAAUUCUUCAGACCAUUCCUUUUGAUCAUAGUCCUGCGGGAAAUGUUUCAGACACCAAUGUGGUAUCACUUUCAGUGUAUUCUACGGGCGCAGCUCUGUUGGCAAGUUGUAACAAGAGAAAUGAGAAAUCCAUAGAACUGAAAGAGAAAUAUAGCGUCGCGAUUUCACGAGGGGCAACAGAACUGCAAAUGAGCAAGAUUGAGAUAUUUUCCGUGAACUAUGAUCUUAAGGGGGACCUAAAUCUGCUGAAGGUUCAAUACUUCACUAUGUUAGGUGUUGUGGAAAAUCAGGAAGAUGUUUUAUUUUAGCAUCACAGCUUAAAAGCAGUGAUGGAUGGUCCAAGUGCAACCAGUUCAUUCACUGAACUCUUACUUUCUUGAAAAACUUGAACGAGUUAGUUUUUAAAAUUUUUAAAUAUAAAAUGGCUUAAGGCUUGACAUAAUAAUUUGUAAUCUCAUACUUAUCUUGAAUACGAUUUUCUACCACUUGUAGCCAAAAAACAAGUAGCUAGUAUUCCUUGCAACCGAAUCUUUUACACCAAAGAGUAAUUCCUUCUAGCUAUGUUGACUUCAUAGUAGUGUAUCUUUAUGGUCCGUUGUUGUACCCGACCAUGGGCUUACAGUUAGGUAACUACGUUAGUCAUGCAAGCAGUGGGUCUGAAAGGUCAUGUUUGGUUCAGGUAAUAAUCUCCCCUUGAUUUUCAAACCACUUUUUUCCCUUUCAUUAGGUUUAGCUGUUUAGUAUUUGUUGAAAAUGAGUUACUUUCCCUGUGAACCAUAUGAUAACUGUCCCCUAAACCAGAGUUGACAAUGUAAAUCUCAGUGUCUUUUAUUCCAUUGCAGAGGAAGUAACUUAGGACCUACUAGAUGCCACUUAAUAACAUGAAAAUUAUUAUUUUUUUCUUUUUUUCCCAUUUUGAUGCACGAAAUCUGUUUUAAAAAAUUCUCUGAAAGUGGCCAGUUCUGAAGUAGUAAUGUCAUUUUGACUUGUUUAUAUACAU